This 371-nucleotide ribosomal RNA is filed under the name uncultured Methanosaeta sp. RNAcentral's name for it is "bacterial SSU rRNA". It matches the Rfam family "Archaeal small subunit ribosomal RNA", at positions 968 to 1338 of the family's 1478-position model. Lineage: Archaea; Methanobacteriati; Methanobacteriota; Methanomicrobia; Methanotrichales; Methanotrichaceae. The record is from RNAcentral.
CUGCUUGACUAGCUGAGAGGAGGUGCAUGGCCGUCGUCAGUUCGUACUGUGAAGCAUCCUGUUAAGUCAGGCAACGAGCGAGACCCACGCCCAACAGUUGCCAGCGUACUCUCUGGAGUGACGGGUACACUGUGGGACCGCCGCUGCUAAAGCGGAGGAAGGAAUGGGCAACGGUAGGUCAGUAUGCCCCGAAUAUCCCGGGCUACACGCGAGCUACAAUGGUUGGUACAAUGGGUAUCUACCCCGAAAGGGGACGGGAAUCUCCUAAAACCAAUCUUAGUUCGGAUUGAGGGCUGCAACUCGCCCUCAUGAAGCUGGAAUCCGUAGUAAUCGCGUUUCAACAGAACGCGGUGAAUACGUCCCUGCUCCUU